This 468-nucleotide ribosomal RNA is filed under the name uncultured bacterium. RNAcentral describes it as "partial 16S ribosomal RNA". It matches the Rfam family "Bacterial small subunit ribosomal RNA", at positions 28 to 507 of the family's 1533-position model. The record is from RNAcentral.
GACGAACGCUGGCGGCGUGCUUAACACAUGCAAGUCGAACGGAAAGGCCCUGCUUUUGUGGGGUGCUCGAGUGGCGAACGGGUGAGUAACACGUGAGUAACCUGCCCUUGACUUUGGGAUAACUUCAGGAAACUGGGGCUAAUACCGGAUAGGAGCUCCUGCUGCAUGGUGGGGGUUGGAAAGUUUCGGCGGUUGGGGAUGGACUCGCGGCUUAUCAGCUUGUUGGUGGGGUAGUGGCUUACCAAGGCUUUGACGGGUAGCCGGCCUGAGAGGGUGACCGGCCACAUUGGGACUGAGAUACGGCCCAGACUCCUACGGGAGGGAGCAGUGGGGAAUAUUGCACGAUGGGCGGAAGCCUGAUGCAGCAACGCCGCGUGCGGGAUGACGGCCUUCGGGUUGUAAACCGCUUUCGCCUGUGACGAAGCGUGAGUGACGGUAAUGGGUAAAGAAGCACCGGCUAACUACGUG